GAUCCUGGCUCAGGAUGAACGCUGGCGGCGUGCUUAACACAUGCAAGUCGAACGAUGAAGCCCAGCUUGCUGGGUGGAUUAGUGGCGAACGGGUGAGUAACACGUGAGUAACCUGCCCUUAACUCUGGGAUAAGCCUGGGAAACUGGGUCUAAUACCGGAUAGGAGCGCCUACCGCAUGGUGGGUGUUGGAAAGAUUUAUCGGUUUUGGAUGGACUCGCGGCCCAUCAGCUUGUUGGUGAGGUAAUGGCUCACCAAGGCGACGACGGGUAGCCGGCCUGAGAGGGUGACCGGCCACACUGGGACUGAGACACGGGG
RNAcentral lists this ribosomal RNA (316 nucleotides) under Micrococcus luteus. Its description in RNAcentral is "bacterial SSU rRNA". It matches the Rfam family "Bacterial small subunit ribosomal RNA", at positions 15 to 331 of the family's 1533-position model. The record is from RNAcentral. Lineage: Bacteria; Bacillati; Actinomycetota; Actinomycetes; Micrococcales; Micrococcaceae.